Molecule: non-coding RNA, 143 nt
Organism: Dipodomys ordii (Ord's kangaroo rat)
Lineage: Eukaryota; Metazoa; Chordata; Mammalia; Rodentia; Heteromyidae
Source: Ensembl
CCGUCCUGGCCACGCCCGCUGCUGCCCCGUGCUCAGCUCCUGCGGCGCACGCGCAGUCUGGCAGGACGCACAGUGUACCCCCCCUCAGUUUAGGAGGGCAGCCCGAAGAAUGGGUCUGGCUCUUAAAGGCACGAGGGGACAGU